This 312-nucleotide ribosomal RNA is filed under the name uncultured eukaryote. RNAcentral's name for it is "partial 18S ribosomal RNA". It matches the Rfam family "Eukaryotic small subunit ribosomal RNA", at positions 1470 to 1796 of the family's 1831-position model. The record is from RNAcentral.
CCCUUAGAUGUUCUGGGCCGCACGCGCGCUACACUGAUGCAUUCAACGAGUCCAACCUUGACCGAGAGGUCCGGGUAAUCUUUGAAACUGCAUCGUGAUGGGGCUAGAUUAUUGCAAUUAUUAAUCUUCAACGAGGAAUGCCUAGUAAGCGUGAUUCAUCAAAUCGCGUUGAUUACGUCCCUGCCCUUUGUACACACCGCCCGUCGCACCUACCGAUUGAAUGGUCCGGUGAAGUCUUCGGACCGAUGCUGACUCGUUGGCAACGGAAAGUUGAGUAAACCUUACCAUUUAGAGGAAGGUGAAGUCGUAACA